AUGGGGAAGCGUCGGCGAUCAGAGGACGAAGCAGGCGCAUCCGAGCGGCCUCGUCGGGGACGCCUCCAUCUAGUCGUGCAUGAUUACGCGCGGGGAUGCACGGUGUACAAGCUGGACGUCGACGCCUUCCAACCAGACACAGGCACGGACGACCACUUGGAGUCCACGGCGCGGCGUCUGCCGCAUGAUUGCGUGGCGAUCCGCAUGGCGUCGCCCGACCGCCACCAGAACGACCAGUUCGUGUGCGUCGGCAGCAAGAUCUUCGCUUUCUACAAGGACGCGGACGCCGGCCACAAUACCAUGGUGUACGAUAGCGCGACGUCGCAGGUGGCCGUAUGCCCUCCGCUGCUCGCUCCAAAGGAGCUCGCCGAGUUCCUAACUGUCGGCGCCGACAUCUACGCCCUCGAGACCGAGUACGAUGGCUUCAACUACAAAUUUGUUCCCUCGAUGGAGAAACUUGGACCGGCGCCCCGCCGUGGCUGGGGUGAAUGGCGGUGGGAGUCCCUCCGCCCGCCGCCGAUCAAGCUGCCCAUCCUUGUCUCGUCCCAAGCGGUGCAUCCUGACGGAUCCACCAUCUUCCUCUCCGUCGAGGACAGGGGCACCUUCUCCUUCGACACUGGCCGCCUCGCCCGGACGGGUCACGGGAGCUGGCUCCUGCCUUUCGACGGGGAGGCCUACUUCGUGGCGAGCUGGAUGCGUGGGUCGGGCUUUGCUCACACCAAAAAGGGUACAUCGCCGUGUGCAAUGUCAUCUCACCCGAUGACGGCCGGUGUGAAUGCCUGA
Molecule: ribosomal RNA, 783 nt
Filed under: Triticum aestivum (bread wheat)
Lineage: Eukaryota; Viridiplantae; Streptophyta; Magnoliopsida; Poales; Poaceae
Description: partial small subunit ribosomal RNA
Source: RNAcentral